RNAcentral lists this ribosomal RNA (392 nucleotides) under uncultured bacterium. RNAcentral describes it as "partial 16S ribosomal RNA". It matches the Rfam family "Bacterial small subunit ribosomal RNA", at positions 523 to 918 of the family's 1533-position model. The record is from RNAcentral.
AUACGGAGGAUCCGAGCGUUAUCCGGAUUUAUUGGGUUUAAAGGGUGCGCAGGCGGCCAGUUAAGUCAGCGGUUAAAUCGUGGGGCUCAACCCCAUUCUGCCGUUGAUACUGGGUGGCUUGAUUGCGGUCGAGGUUGGCGGAAUUCGUUGUGUAGCGGUGAAAUGCAUAGAUAUGACGAAGAACACCGAUUGCGUAGGCAGCUGACCAGACCGCAAAUGACGCUCAUGCACGAAAGUGCGGGGAUCGAACAGGAGUAGAUACCCUGGUAGUCCGCACAGUAAACGAUGAAUACUUGUUUUCGGCGAUAUAAUGUCGGAGGCAAAGCGAAAGCGAUAAGUAUUCCACCUGGGGAGUACGCCGGCAACGGUGAAACUCAAAUGAAUUGACGGGG